RNAcentral lists this ribosomal RNA (290 nucleotides) under uncultured Dialister sp. RNAcentral describes it as "partial 16S ribosomal RNA". It matches the Rfam family "Bacterial small subunit ribosomal RNA", at positions 220 to 501 of the family's 1533-position model. The record is from RNAcentral. Lineage: Bacteria; Bacillati; Bacillota; Negativicutes; Veillonellales; Veillonellaceae.
UUAAGAGGGGUUUGCGACUGAUUAGGUAGUUGGUGAGGUAACGGCUCACCAAGCCGACGAUCAGUAGCCGGUCUGAGAGGAUGAACGGCCACACUGGAACUGAGACACGGUCCAGACUCCUACGGGAGGCAGCAGUGGGGAAUCUUCCGCAAUGGACGAAAGUCUGACGGAGCAACGCCGCGUGAACGAAGAAGGUCUUCGGAUUGUAAAGUUCUGUGAUUCGGGACGAAAGGGUUUGUGGUGAAUAAUCAUAGACAUUGACGGUACCGAAAAAGCAAGCCACGGCCUAA